Molecule: unclassified non-coding RNA, 255 nt
Filed under: Rubus ellipticus (yellow Himalayan raspberry)
Lineage: Eukaryota; Viridiplantae; Streptophyta; Magnoliopsida; Rosales; Rosaceae
Description: internal trasncribed spacer 1
Source: RNAcentral
UCGAAACCUGCCCAGCAGAACGACCCGAGAACAUGUUUCAACGCUUGGGGGCGAUGGGUCUUACGGCUCCUCGUCCCUUUUCUCGAGAGGCAAUCGUCUUGUGUGUUGCAUCUCGAUGCUCGCACUAGAAGUACCCUCUUGGGCGUACAAACGAACACCGGCGUGAAUUGCGCCAAGGAACUUGAAUGAAAGAGCGUUCCCCUGUCGUCCCGGAAACGGUGUGCGUCUGGUUGGUUACGUCAUCUUCAAUAUGUC